RNAcentral lists this ribosomal RNA (1015 nucleotides) under Halomonas sp. HZDC18. RNAcentral's name for it is "bacterial SSU rRNA". It matches the Rfam family "Bacterial small subunit ribosomal RNA", at positions 381 to 1388 of the family's 1533-position model. The record is from RNAcentral. Lineage: Bacteria; Pseudomonadati; Pseudomonadota; Gammaproteobacteria; Oceanospirillales; Halomonadaceae.
CCCUGAUCCAGCCAUGCCGCGUGUGUGAAGAAGGCCCUCGGGUUGUAAAGCACUUUCAGCGAGGAAGAACGCCUAGCGGUUAAUACCCGCUAGGAAAGACAUCACUCGCAGAAGAAGCACCGGCUAACUCCGUGCCAGCAGCCGCGGUAAUACGGAGGGUGCAAGCGUUAAUCGGAAUUACUGGGCGUAAAGCGCGCGUAGGUGGCUUGAUAAGCCGGUUGUGAAAGCCCCGGGCUCAACCUGGGAACGGCAUCCGGAACUGUCAAGCUAGAGUGCAGGAGAGGAAGGUAGAAUUCCCGGUGUAGCGGUGAAAUGCGUAGAGAUCGGGAGGAAUACCAGUGGCGAAGGCGGCCUUCUGGACUGACACUGACACUGAGGUGCGAAAGCGUGGGUAGCAAACAGGAUUAGAUACCCUGGUAGUCCACGCCGUAAACGAUGUCGACCAGCCGUUGGGUGCCUAGCGCACUUUGUGGCGAAGUUAACGCGAUAAGUCGACCGCCUGGGGAGUACGGCCGCAAGGUUAAAACUCAAAUGAAUUGACGGGGGCCCGCACAAGCGGUGGAGCAUGUGGUUUAAUUCGAUGCAACGCGAAGAACCUUACCUACUCUUGACAUCCUGCGAAUUUGGUAGAGAUACCUUAGUGCCUUCGGGAACGCAGAGACAGGUGCUGCAUGGCUGUCGUCAGCUCGUGUUGUGAAAUGUUGGGUUAAGUCCCGUAACGAGCGCAACCCUUGUCCUUAUUUGCCAGCGCGUAAUGGCGGGAACUCUAAGGAGACUGCCGGUGACAAACCGGAGGAAGGUGGGGACGACGUCAAGUCAUCAUGGCCCUUACGAGUAGGGCUACACACGUGCUACAAUGGUCGGUACAAAGGGUUGCCAACUCGCGAGAGUGAGCCAAUCCCGAAAAGCCGAUCUCAGUCCGGAUCGGAGUCUGCAACUCGACUCCGUGAAGUCGGGAUCGCUAGUAAUCGUGGAUCAGAAUGCCACGGUGAAUACGUUCCCGGGCCUUGUACAC